This 275-nucleotide ribosomal RNA is filed under the name uncultured bacterium. RNAcentral's name for it is "partial 16S ribosomal RNA". It matches the Rfam family "Bacterial small subunit ribosomal RNA", at positions 338 to 605 of the family's 1533-position model. The record is from RNAcentral.
CCUACGGGGGGCUGCAGUGGGGAAUAUUGGACAAUGGGCGCAAGCCUGAUCCAGCAAUGCCGCGUGUGUGAAGAAGGCCUGCGGGUUGUAAAGCACUUUUGUCCGGAAAGAAAUCAUCCGAGUUAAUACCUUGGAUGGAUGACGGUACCGGAAGAAUAAGCACCGGCUAACUUCGUGCCAGCAGCCGCGGUAAUACGAAGGGUGCAAGCGUUAAUCGGACUUACUGGGCGUAAAGGGUGCGUAGGCGGUCUGUUAAGUCGGAUGUGAAAGCCCCG